RNAcentral lists this long non-coding RNA (1317 nucleotides) under Oncorhynchus kisutch (coho salmon). RNAcentral's name for it is "lncRNA (ENSOKIG00005022981.1)". The record is from RNAcentral. Lineage: Eukaryota; Metazoa; Chordata; Actinopteri; Salmoniformes; Salmonidae.
AUGCAUUCAGUUCCAUAUCCCUGGGGUUAUGAUAAUGCUUGGGAGAGACUAAUGCAUUCAGUUCCAUAUCCCUGGGGUUAUGAUAAUGCUUGGGAGAGACUAAUGCAUUCAGUUCCAUAUCCCUGGGGUUAUGAUAAUGCUUGGGAGAGACUAAUGCAUUCAGUUCCAUAUCCCUGGGGUUAUGAUAAUGCUUGGGAGAGACUAAUGCAUUCAGUUCCAUAUCCCUGGGGUUAUGAUAAUGCUUGGGAGAGACUAAUGCAUUCAGUUCCAUAUCCCUGGGGUUAUGAUAAUGCUUGGGAGAGACUAAUGCAUUCAGUUCCAUAUCCCUGGGGUUAUGAUAAUGCUUGGGAGAGACUAAUGCAUUCAGUUCCAUAUCCCUGGGGUUAUGAUAAUGCUUGGGAGAGACUAAUGCAUUCAGUUCCAUAUCCCUGGGGUUAUGAUAAUGCUUGGGAGAGACUAAUGCAUUCAGUUCCAUAUCCCUGGGGUUAUGAUAAUGCUUGGGAGAGACUAAUGCAUUCAGUUCCAUAUCCCUGGGGUUAUGAUAAUGCUUGGGAGAGACUAAUGCAUUCAGUUCCAUAUCCCUGGGGUUAUGAUAAUGCUUGGGAGAGACUAAUGCAUUCAGUUCCAUAUCCCUGGGGUUAUGAUAAUGCUUGGGAGAGACUAAUGCAUUCAGUUCCAUAUCCCUGGGGUUAUGAUAAUGCUUGGGAGAGACUAAUGCAUUCAGUUCCAUAUCCCUGGGGUUAUGAUAAUGCUUGGGAGAGACUAAUGCAUUCAGUUCCAUAUCCCUGGGGUUAUGAUAAUGCUUGGGAGAGACUAAUGCAUUCAGUUCCAUAUCCCUGGGGUUAUGAUAAUGCUUGGGAGAGACUAAUGCAUUCAGUUCCAUAUCCCUGGGGUUAUGAUAAUGCUUGGGAGAGACUAAUGCAUUCAGUUCCAUAUCCCUGGGGUUAUGAUAAUGCUUGGGAGAGACUAAUGCAUUCAGUUCCAUAUCCCUGGGGUUAUGAUAAUGCUUGGGAGAGACUAAUGCAUUCAGUUCCAUAUCCCUGGGGUUAUGAUAAUGCUUGGGAGAGACUAAUGCAUUCAGUUCCAUAUCCCUGGGGUUAUGAUAAUGCUUGGGAGAGACUAAUGCAUUCAGUUCCAUAUCCCUGGGGUUAUGAUAAUGCUUGGGAGAGACUAAUGCAUUCAGUUCCAUAUCCCUGGGGUUAUGAUAAUGCUUGGGAGAGACUAAUGCAUUCAGUUCCAUAUCCCUGGGGUUAUGGUCUUUGGAUAAAUACUAAAUGUGCUUUGUUCAUUCUACAUAUAAAAUGGAAAUAUAUGUAA